UUAGUAGAAGCCAAAAACAAGAGGCAUUUUAUUGUUAAUAAAAAAAAUGAAUUAUAUUCCUAUUAAA
This 67-nucleotide transfer RNA is filed under the name Macropsis ocellata. Its description in RNAcentral is "tRNA-Asn". RNAcentral also lists the same sequence under 1 other name. The record is from RNAcentral. Lineage: Eukaryota; Metazoa; Arthropoda; Insecta; Hemiptera; Cicadellidae.